GUGUAUCCAAGUGGUUAAAGGAGGUAGAUUGUAAAUUUAUUGAGUUUUUCUCUUCGUGGGUUCGAAUCCCACCG
Molecule: transfer RNA, 74 nt
Filed under: uncultured Tubulinea
Lineage: Eukaryota; Tubulinea
Rfam family: tRNA
About the family: Transfer RNA (tRNA) molecules are approximately 80 nucleotides in length. Their secondary structure includes four short double-helical elements and three loops (D, anti-codon, and T loops).
Source: RNAcentral